GACGAACGCUGGCGGCGUGCCUAAUACAUGCAAGUAGAACGCUGAAGGAGGAGCUUGCUUCUCUGGAUGAGUUGCGAACGGGUGAGUAACGCGUAGGUAACCUGCCUGGUAGCGGGGGAUAUCUAUUGGAAACGAUAGCUAAUACCGCAUAAGAGUAGAUGUUGCAUGACAUUUGCUUAAAAGGUGCAAUUGCAUCACUACCAGAUGGACCUGCGUUGUAUUAGCUAGUUGGUGGGGUAACGGCUUACCAAGGCGACGAUACAUAGCCGACCUGAGAGGGUGAUCGGCCACACUGGGACUGAGACACGGCCCAGACUCCUACGGGAGGCAGCAGUAGGGAAUCUUCGGCAAUGGACGGAAGUCUGACCGAGCAACGCCGCGUGAGUGAAGAAGGUUUUCGGAUCGUAAAGCUCUGUUGUAAGAGAAGAACGAGUGUGAGAGUGGAAAGUUCACACUGUGACGGUAUCUUACCAGAAAGGGACGGCUAACUACGUG
This 495-nucleotide ribosomal RNA is filed under the name uncultured bacterium. RNAcentral's name for it is "partial 16S ribosomal RNA". It matches the Rfam family "Bacterial small subunit ribosomal RNA", at positions 28 to 507 of the family's 1533-position model. The record is from RNAcentral.